GAUGAACGCUAGCGGCAGGCUUAACACAUGCAAGUCGAGGGGUAGAGGAAGCUUGCUUCCUUGAGACCGGCGCACGGGUGCGUAACGCGUAUACAAUCUACCUUUUACAGAGGGAUAGCCCCAGAGAAAUUUGGAUUAAUACCUCAUAGUAUUUUCGGAUCGCAUGAUUUGAUUAUUAAAGUUCCAACGGUAAAAGAUGAGUAUGCGUCCCAUUAGCUAGAUGGUAAGGUAACGGCUUACCAUGGCAAUGAUGGGUAGGGGUCCUGAGAGGGAGAUCCCCCACACUGGUACUGAGACACGGACCAGACUCCUACGGGAGGCAGCAGUGAGGAAUAUUGGUCAAUGGGCGCAAGCCUGAACCAGCCAUGCCGCGUGCAGGAAGACGGUCCUAUGGAUUGUAAACUGCUUUUAUACAGGAAGAAACCCUCCCACGUGUGGGAGCUUGACGGUACUGUAGGAAUAAGGAUCGGCUAACUCCGUGCCAGCAGCCGCGGU
This 495-nucleotide ribosomal RNA is filed under the name uncultured bacterium. Its description in RNAcentral is "bacterial SSU rRNA". It matches the Rfam family "Bacterial small subunit ribosomal RNA", at positions 28 to 521 of the family's 1533-position model. The record is from RNAcentral.